CAGUAGCCGCGGUAAUACAGAGGGUGCGAGCGUUAAUCGGAUUUACUGGUCGUAAAGCGUGCGUAGGCGGCUUCUUAAGUCGGAUGUGAAAUCCCUGAGCUUAACUUAGGAAUUGCAUUCGAUACUGGGAAGCUAGAGUAUGGGAGAGGAUGGUAGAAUUCCAGGUGUAGCGGUGAAAUGCGUAGAGAUCUGGAGGAAUACCGAUGGCGAAGGCAGCCAUCUGGCCUAAUACUGACGCUCAUGCACGAAAGCGUGGGGAGCAAACAGGAUUAGAUACCCGCGUAGUCCCUGUCUCUUAUAC
Molecule: ribosomal RNA, 301 nt
Filed under: uncultured bacterium
Lineage: Bacteria
Description: partial 16S ribosomal RNA
Rfam family: Bacterial small subunit ribosomal RNA
Source: RNAcentral